Molecule: ribosomal RNA, 120 nt
Filed under: uncultured bacterium
Lineage: Bacteria
Description: partial 16S ribosomal RNA
Rfam family: Bacterial small subunit ribosomal RNA
Source: RNAcentral
GCGGUGUGGGAUGAGCCCGCGGCCUAUCAGCUUGUUGGUGGGGUGAUGGCCUACCAAGGCGACGACGGGUAGCCGGCCUGAGAGGGUGACCGGCCACACUGGGACUGAGAUACGGCCCAG